This 396-nucleotide ribosomal RNA is filed under the name uncultured bacterium. RNAcentral describes it as "bacterial SSU rRNA". It matches the Rfam family "Bacterial small subunit ribosomal RNA", at positions 618 to 1008 of the family's 1533-position model. The record is from RNAcentral.
AACGGUCAUUCGAAACUGUCGGACUAGAGUACUGGAGAGGAGAGCGGAAUUCUUGGAGUAGCGGUGAAAUGCGUAGAUAUCAAGAAGAACACCGGUGGCGAAGGCGGCUCUCUGGACAGUUACUGACGCUGAGGUACGAAAGCCGGGGUAGCGAAGAGGAUUAGAUACCCUCGUAGUCCCGGCAGUAAACGAUGUGCACUUGGUGUGGGAGGGAGUUAUCCCCUUCCCGUACCGGAGUUAACGCGUUAAGUGCACCGCCUGGGGAGUACGGCCGCAAGGCUAAAACUCAAAGGAAUUGACGGGGGCCCGCACAAGCGGUGGAGCAUGUGGCUUAAUUCGAUGCAACGCGAAGAACCUUACCUGGGUUUGACAUGCCCGUCGUAUUCCCCUUAAAGG